GAAGGCACUUCACUGACUCCCAACUCUGAGGAUUUUUGGUUUUGUAAAUCGCAAAAGGCAAAUGAUCAGAAAUAAAUUGAUUGGAGGAUUUCAACAUAACCUUGCAGUUCGACAUCUAUGUGGUACUUCUGAACAGAUCAUUGAGAUCCAUUUUAUUCUAGUGGAGUUGCUUCAUGUCCGGAGAUAGCAUCCUAACUGGAUUGCAGUGUGUGUGUGUGUGUGUGUGUGUGUGUGUGUGCGUAUGCAUGUGUGUGUGUGCGUGCAUGCACAGUUGUUGUCCAUGUCAGCCCACACUGCCUGCUGGCACAUAUCCUCUGUUGGUACAAAUCACCCUUGCAGACACUUCCACCUCCUGAUAUUUUGCAGCCUCCCGUUCCCUGAGGGACAAGUGUUGAGGGAACUGUCAGAGAAGAGCUGUGUUGUAGCCUCUGCUGGCUGGUUUACUUAUUCCUUGAAAAAAAAAGAGAGCAGUUUUCAACUGGCUGUGAUUUGGGCUGGUGUCAGGCAUCCUGUGCUGGCCCAUGGCCCUGCUGAAUAGAGCACACAGACAGAAAGGCACAGGGCAUUCUGGGUGCAAGACCUGGGAGUGACAUGAAAGCUGAGGAUAUGGAUGUGUGCAGUCUGAGACAUAUACAAGUCAUCAGAGGGUCCAGGCUGCCAGAGUGCAGUGGGACAGUCUGGUAUAUCCCAAAGGAAGGAAGCUCAGAUGCGGGUGUCUCUGGUUCAGCAAGAUGAGCUUUGCCUUCUUCCCACAUGCACCCUAGAGAGAUGAGCUGUCUAUAUCCCAGGCUGUGUCAUCCCAGUAUCUGGGAGUUGUGAUUCCCAGUGGUCAUUUUCAUUUGUUUAUUUACUGACAGUUAUAUUUAUAGAUUUGUCAAUAGAAAAUCUGUAGGGAUAUUUUAGGGUCAUUUUCCAGGACAAAGACCAAAUUUUAUGACAUCUUGGUGCAUACAGAUUACAUUUUAUCACUGACUGAGAGACAUUGGGUGAACAGAAUUACAGGUGAAUCACUCUAGGGCAGUGGUCUGUCAGCUUUCCCAAUGCUGUGACUCUUUAAUAGAGUUCCUCAUGUUGGGGUGACCCCAAUCAUAAAAUUACCGCAUUGCUACUUCAUAACUGCAAUCUUGCUACUAUUAUGAACUGCAAUGCAAACAUCUGAUAUGCAGGAACGACCCCUGUGAAAGGCUGUUUCGAUUUUAAGAGGUCAUGACUUAUAGGUUGAGAACGCUGCUUUAGGUGAAAAUAAUUUUGCCAUGCGCUGUUAUGAAACUGUGAGGAUUUCCUCUCCUCCAAAGCUACACCUCGAGACGACUUUUAUCUGGUGAACAACCGGCUUCUCCACACUGCUCACAUCAUCUCCUCUUUCUACUUAAAGGAAACAUCCUAGGCAGGCUUCUCAGAACUCUGUCUAGAGCGUUAGCGUUCAGCCUCGUCCUGUGAAUGUCUGCCAUCACAGAAGGCACCGAGCAUUUUUAUUCUUUGUGCUCUGGGCCUUAAUGUUAUCCAGAAGAUCUUUUUGUCUCUAUGUUUGGUUAACUGAUGCCAAAUAUACAUUAUUCUGUUUUUUAGUAACUUUUUUUUUGUCACAGAUGACUAAACUGCUCAUUUUUCAAAAUCAAAGUGUAAAUCUUUUGCUUAAUUCGGACCCUAUUGAUGGUGACUAUCUUUGGACAUAAUAACAUGAGAUCUUGGAGGUGACAUUAAUAAUGGGCUUAAGCGAUGGUUUGCCCCACAUGCCCUUGCUGUAAGUGUAUGUAUAUGUUCCAGUCAUUAAAAUAAAAAGACAGAGAAUAGAAGAAUCGCCUUUACUUUACAAGCUUCUUCCUGGGGAAGUGCUAACGAAUAAGUAAAAAAGCUGAGAAAAGUGAUCUUGUCUCGUGGCUAUUAAAAUCUGAUGGUCUCAGAUCCAUAUACCUUGUUAACCUAGAGUGGUCAAAAUCUUUACCCAUGUUAAGGAAAGGCAGAUCUAGCAGAGGAAUGAAUCACUUCACAGGGCCUCAGGCUUCAUGCACUGCGAUGCUGAUACAAAGACAGUUCAGUUACUCUGACAGUGUUAUUAAGUAUUUAUACUCAAGACAAGUUAAAAACUAUGAAUAGAGUGUACAUUUCAUAAUAUAUUAGAAGGACAUGUGCUUGUGUGUGUGUGUUAGCAUUUUGAAGGCCAAUAUUUUCAUGUAGGAAGUUGUGCAGUAUUAGAGAACAAAAAUUUCCAAAUAAAGGAAAACAUAUUUUUAGACUGGGUUUUUGUCAGAGGACAAAAAAAAAAAUAAAAUAUGCCAUACAUCUAUUUCCAAUAGCAGUGUCUUUUUGUUGUCAUUAUUAUUUUUAGUAGUAGCAGUAUUAAAAUAUGCUGACUGAGUCUGAAAAAUAAAGCAGUAAAUGUAGUAUUUUUGGAAAGUCCAGGUACUGUAUUUAUUUAAAAUGUGGGUUUAUUAACUUUGAAAAGUUUAAUCUCUAUUUAAACUGAGGGUUCAAAUAUGUUCACUCAAUUUCAAGGGAAUUUAGCUAUUUGCAAAGCACAUAACUACUAGUAGUCAAUUGUUAAUUUUUUAGAUAUAGGAAUCAAGAAAGAAACCAAUGACUCAUUAGAUAUUUUAGAAUAAUUUACACACCUGAUGGCCUCACACUUCCUUUUCAGAGCUAACUGCCAAGAAAUUGUGCUGUUGUGUGUUUGUGUAAAAUGAAUCACAACAGGGUAAGAGAAAGGUUAGUUAUUAAAACAAUCAAGCAUUCACUUCAGUUUAUUCACAACCCAUUAGAGGACAGCAGGACUUCCUGGGUACCUCUGCAACAAGACUUAAAAUUUAUAGAGGAAAUCAAUUUUUGAGGUUGUUUUAAAUAUUAAAAGUACCCUUCUUUAAUACAAAAGUCCUUUAAUUUUAACUGACAGAUCAAUUCUAAAACUUUAUUUUGAAAAGAAAAUGGGGAAGAAUUUGUCUUGAGAAUUUAAAGAGAUUAAAAAAAAUAAACCAGACAUUCUAAAAAAAAAAAAAAAUCAACCUGAUUUUUUAGUGCUAAUGAGUCCUGGUGACAAAAUAGUUGUCUUUUUGAUUUUAUCACAAAAAAUAAACUGGUAGUGACAGGAUAUGAUGGAGAGAUUUGACAUCCUGGCAAAUCACUGUCAUUGAUUCAAUUAUUCUAAUUCUGAAUGAGAACUGUAUACAGUGCGUGUUUAUGCUACACUGGGCUUUUUUUUUAAAGUGACUGACAUUCAUCAUAUUGGUGAGACAGUUUUAAAAACCUAGUCUUUGUUUUCGACAAUGUUGUCAAGAGAAAAUAGAGUAUAAUUUGUGGUAUAUUAAAAGGAAACUGCUUAAAAUGCUAGUUAAAGGUGCUUUAAAAUAUUCUAAUUUAUUUGAAAAUUCAAUUUCUACCAAAAGAUGUUAAAUAUCUUUUAAAAAAACUGGAGUUCUUAAACACACACAAGUGGCUUUCUGGCUUCCACUGUUUAUCUAUGGCUUGUCAAACCCUUCAAGACUAUGGACCCAUGACCCCAAAGCCCAGUGUUUUUCAGGAAAACCUGCUCCAUAUGCUGUGUCCCCGAGACAUUUUGCAUGGUCAGAUAUCAUUUACAGGCUCAGCCAGUGCUCCUGGUUAACAAAGGCACAAUGGAAGUCUGAGUGUGUCUCAGUUACUUACGUUGUCUUAGACCUAGAUUAUAUAACUUGCUCACCAGGCUUCAGUACACAUCUCUAGGACCCCGGCAUUAGUGGAGCUGCCAGCUUGAAUUUUGUCUGUUGACACAAUGUUACAGUGCUGACGUCAAUUACCCAGAACUUCAGAGUCUUCCUGCCUGCUUCCCAUCAAGUCCUGGAUGUAUUGUCUAAUGUGCUGGGUAAUGCAGACUGAAUCACCACAUAUGAUUUUUGUCUUCACCAUUUUCAACAAUGGGAUGCACAAAUGCUAACUCUUUCAAAUACUAGCAAACAAAAUAUUCUUUGAAAAAAAGUCUUGGUAGUGAUUUUUUCAAAAACAAAGUCAUCUGAAAUGUAUUCACACACAACUUGAAUUCAAUGUUCUACACUCUAUGGGGUGUGCCAUGCCUGUUACCAUAAGACACAAGUCACCAUCAUCCCAUUGCUAUAGUCCACUUGAACUAAUGACAACUCUAAGGCAAACUGUAUUUUGGGGAUUUUUUGGGUGUUUAUUUAAAAAGUAAUUAGUAUUUUAAAAAAAAACCCACAGCAGCUAAAUGUCAAAUGGCAGUAUUUCUGCCAUAUUAUGUUUGUACAAAAGUCAGUAGAAAAAAAUAAAUCAUGAAACAACUC
RNAcentral lists this long non-coding RNA (4268 nucleotides) under Mus musculus (house mouse). RNAcentral describes it as "long non-coding RNA chr2:105698315-105702583". Lineage: Eukaryota; Metazoa; Chordata; Mammalia; Rodentia; Muridae. The record is from RNAcentral.